UUUAACGGAGAGUUUGAUCCUGGCUCAGGACGAACGCUGGCGGCGUGCCUAAUACAUGCAAGUCGAGCGGACUUGAUGGAGUGCUUGCACUCCUGAUGGU
Molecule: ribosomal RNA, 100 nt
Filed under: Paenibacillus alvei
Lineage: Bacteria; Bacillati; Bacillota; Bacilli; Caryophanales; Paenibacillaceae
Description: partial 16S ribosomal RNA
Rfam family: Bacterial small subunit ribosomal RNA
Source: RNAcentral